UACAGAGGUGGCAAGCGUUGUUCGGAAUUACUGGGCGUAAAGGGCGCGUAGGCGGCCCGUCAAGUCCCGUGUGAAAGCCCCCGGCUCAACCGAGGAACUGCGUCCGAUACUGGUGGGCUUGAAUCCGGGAGAGGGAUGUGGAAUUCCAGGUGUAGCGGUGAAAUGCGUAGAUAUCUGGAGGAACACCGGUGGCGAAGGCGGCAUCCUGGACCGGUAUUGACGCUGAGGCGCGAAAGCCAGGGGAGCAAACGGG
Molecule: ribosomal RNA, 253 nt
Filed under: uncultured bacterium
Lineage: Bacteria
Description: partial 16S ribosomal RNA
Rfam family: Bacterial small subunit ribosomal RNA
Source: RNAcentral